This 200-nucleotide ribosomal RNA is filed under the name uncultured bacterium. RNAcentral's name for it is "partial 16S ribosomal RNA". It matches the Rfam family "Bacterial small subunit ribosomal RNA", at positions 28 to 223 of the family's 1533-position model. The record is from RNAcentral.
GAUGAACGCUAGCGGCAGGCCUAACACAUGCAAGUCGGGGGGCAGCACGAUUGAGCUUGCUUAAUUGGUGGCGACCGGCGCACGGGUGCGUAACGCGUAUGCAACCUACCUUAUACUGGGGUAUAGCCCGAAGAAAUUCGGAUUAAUCCCCCAUAGCAUUAUCGAUUCGCAUGUUUUGAUAAUUAAAGGUUACGGUAUAA